Molecule: unclassified non-coding RNA, 299 nt
Filed under: plant metagenome
Description: partial contains 5.8S ribosomal RNA, internal transcribed spacer 2, and large subunit ribosomal RNA
Rfam family: 5.8S ribosomal RNA (bases 1-105)
Source: RNAcentral
GAAAUGCGAUAAGUAAUGUGAAUUGCAGAAUUCAGUGAAUCAUCGAAUCUUUGAACGCACAUUGCGCUCGCCAGUAUUCUGGCGAGCAUGCCUGUUCGAGCGUCAUUUCAACCAUCAAGCUCUGCUUGCGUUGGGGAUCCGCGGCUGCCCGCGGUCCCUCAAAAACAGUGGCGGGCUCGCUAGUCACACCGAGCGUAGUAACUCUACAUCGCUAUGGUCGUGCGGCGGGUUCUUGCCGUAACACCCCCAAUUUCUAAGGUUGACCUCGGAUCAGGUAGGAAUACCCGCUGAACUUAAGC